CGGGCUCAUAACCCGAAGGUCGUAGGUUCGAAUCCUGCCCCCGCUACCA
Molecule: transfer RNA, 49 nt
Filed under: Gammaproteobacteria bacterium
Lineage: Bacteria; Pseudomonadati; Pseudomonadota; Gammaproteobacteria
Description: tRNA-Ser
Rfam family: tRNA
About the family: Transfer RNA (tRNA) molecules are approximately 80 nucleotides in length. Their secondary structure includes four short double-helical elements and three loops (D, anti-codon, and T loops).
Source: RNAcentral